AAACGGCAGACCAAAAGUGCAACAACAUGUAUAGUUGGAGGACGCUUUUUGCUAAUUUUGAAGUUUGGGGACGAUUUUCGCAUGAAGGCAAUAGUUGGGGGACCAAAAGUGCAAUUAAGCCUUUUAUUUUUCUAUUGAGGGGCUUGUGUAGGGUGUCCUGCAGGUGAAGAAGGAGUAUCCGAUUCAUUUUCUUUUCUUCUUUUCUUUACCUUUAUUGUCUUAAUUUCUUAUCAUGAGCUCAUGUGCGUCUAUAUGCUCAAGUCGGUGUAUAUUGCUCAUGUUUGUUCAAUGUUUAUGUUAUUGUUUAGGUUUUCAUUUGUCACCACUAGCCAAUAAUAUGAGAAAACUGAUGUGUGUGUUCUCUAAAACCACACAAGAAACUGUUAAUUGCAUUUCAUUCUUAAGUACUUUUUCUGAUAAUAUAGUAUGUCGGUGUAUAUCUGCAUAGCAUGUUGAUUUCACUAAUCUUGUAGGUAACAUGUAUAUGCAGGUAGCUUGUACCAUCCACUUCACAAGUGACAAGAAGAACCAAAUUAACACCAUCUUCUUUUAAUGUGACAAAGUAAUGUGAGAAAGUCUUGAUUUGAUCAUUUAUGUGAAUGACAACUUCAAAGGCCAUCUCUGUUUCUUAAUUGAACACCAAGGUGGACAUGUGAUUCAAUGUUAAAAAUGCAUAUUGGCUAAGUGACGGGGUCAGAGAGAAGAUUAUACAAAUGCAUGAUAAAAACCAUAUCAAGAUGGAUGAGGAGCUUGAGAUUUCUUCCACCAGAACUAUAAAGCAGAAGUUUGUCUUCUCACAUUUGUUGUCUGCUUCCUUCUAUAUUGUAAGAUUGAUCCUUAUGCUAUCAUUUUAUCUUCAAGGGUCUUUUAUUAAAUUCUUUAAAAGCAUGCUUAAAUUUUUUAACUUGAUCGAAUUUAGCAUUAUCAGAAUGUGUUUGUUUGAUUAUUGACCUUAUUUAGGUAUAUAUGUUGUUAAAUUGUUUGGUAUGGCUCUUCUCGGUUAUCCAUACAAGCAGCUCAAUGAUGUAAACCAUUUGUGCAUUUUAUUUAUGUUAUUUACUGGCGGUUUGUUGCUAACCAGUAGGCACAAUGAACUGGCAAAAAUUCAUGUCAAUGGCCAUCUGAUUAAGGUAUUCAUCAAUGAGAUGUUACUGUGCUUAUAUGCUAUACCUUGUUUUAACUUAUGUUACUGUGUUAUACCUUGUUUUAGUUUGGUGAUGUGUAUUGAUUUUGCCGUCAGCUUUCAUAGCUUUUGAAAUGUGUACCCUUUCGGUUAAAUUAUGAUCAAUAUAUCUUAUUUUCAGAAAAAAAAAAAUGUUGAUCUUUUGGCUGAACAGGUGUGGUAAUUAAUUCAACCAAAAAAAAAAAAACAAAUUACAGCGGUUCCGUGGUGGAACCGUUGUAAUAUAUAUAAUCAAAUACAGCGGUUACCGCCUGAAACCGCUGUAAAAGAAGACUCAAGUACAGCGGUUAUUUUAGAGAACAGCUGUUGUAGGUAUGUAUUUACAGCGGUUUUAUUAAAUCAACCGCUGUAAAUAAUGAGUCUUUUACAGCAGUUAGAACCGCUGUUAAGGCUUUUACAGCGGCAAGAUCUACAGCGGUUCUGGACCGCUGAAAACCGCUGUAAAAGGCAAAAAAAAACCGCUGUAAAAGCCA
Molecule: long non-coding RNA, 1656 nt
Organism: Lotus japonicus
Lineage: Eukaryota; Viridiplantae; Streptophyta; Magnoliopsida; Fabales; Fabaceae
Exons: 3
Source: RefSeq, a predicted model, not a curated record